CUUUUGCAUGAUCUCAUUGAAGUCUAUGGUACACGCUUCGCUUAGUAGGCCUGAGCAUAUGAUCCGACUUUUCCACCUCCAAAUCUGAGACUGCUCAGUCACUGUCCUAUACAUCCCUGUGAAUUGCUUAGCAUCAAGAUGCCUUUUUUUGAAUUGUUUCUGUAGAUGAGUCCAGUUUUGCUUACCUUGAUCAAGAUUAGCUCUUUGUAAUUAUGGAAUUAUGCUCUCUGUUUUCCAACUCUAGUUUAGUAAUCCAGUACGUAUUGAUGGAGUGGAUACCUAAUUGUAUGUUGUACUAUUGAUUGCUUUUACAUGAUCUCGAUCUCCCUUUUUUUAAUUUACCUUAAGGCCUUUUUGCAAUGUUUACGUUUAAGGGCAGGGAAAUUAUAUUCACUCUAUACCAAAUCAAUUGACUGAUUUUUAUCUAUAGCAUUUUUCGUAAGGAUGAUAUAUAUUAUUUAUAUUGUAGUAUGCACUAAGUACGUUAUUAGUACAACUUCAUUACUUAUUAUUGGAACCGACUUGUCGUUCCGCCAAAAGAUCAACUUUGUUUUUCCCUGGACCUCUAAUUUCAUUGGCAUGUUUCUAAAGACUAUUUCUUCCUAUUGUCAAAAACAUGCUUAUGAUAUUAUUGAAAAAAAUUGCUUCGUGUUUGUAGAAAGCAAUGCAUCGCAAUUCAUAGUAUUAUCCUUAUGCUAUAGUAUUUUCAUGAGUUUCAUUUAGCAUGCAUUGGAUGGGACCCAUGCCAUCCCACCUCGAUCUCGAACCGAUUAUUUUUGUUUAACUUUUAUAACUGUGUUUUGUCUUUUUUCCAUAAUAUGUUUCAACUGCUAGCUCUUUUUUUUGGGUAGACAUAGCUCUCUUUUAUUCGUAGUUUCAGUUCUUUCGUGUAGUUUGUUUGCUUUGCUUUGCUUUGCUUUGUUAUGUUUUUUGUUUGUUUUUUGUCCCCUGAUUCUGUUUGACUUCCUUUGAAAUGUCUCUCUUCUGAAGUGGCAAGAAGGCAAUAACAACUAUCUAUUUUGAGCAAAUAUUCGAUCUAUUAUGAAGAAUAUACAGUACAUGAGAAGGAGAAUCGAACAUUUGUAUCAAAAGAGAAGGAGGUGCCAGAUCCUGAUCAAGAGUUCGAAUCCAUAGAUAUGGAGUUCGAUGAUUAUGCUGAUAAUGUGUAUUCAGCAUCUUCGAAAAAGUUCGAGCUAGAAAAGUACUUAGAUGAGACAAGGAGCGAUAAAAAGACAGACUUGGACAAUCUUGAGUAUUGGAAGAUUAACUCCCAACGAUAUUUGACAGUUGCAAGGAUAGCUCGUGAUAUUUUGAGCAUUCAUGUAUCCACAGUUGCCUCCGAGGCAGCAUUCAGCUGUGGAGGUCGUGUUCUCGAUCAGUAUCGGAGUUCUUUGAAACCCGACCUUGUGGAAGCACUCAUGUGCUCUCAAGAUUGGUUUUAUAGAUUAGCCGGUAAGUUUACUUUUCAGAUUUGAUUUCUACAAUUCUUUUGUUGAUCUUUCUCUUUUUUGAAUGUAGAUGGUUGUGGAAUUUCCGUGGAUCAACUCAUAGAGGAUGUGAUGAACUUAAACAUUAGCGAUGAGCCAUCAACUUAAGGGUCCAAUACUGUGGUUACUUAAGGGAGAUAUUAGCUCUUGGGAACAUUAACAAGUCUAUGAAAUGGAAUAUCUCUUGGAAAACAUUGUGAUAUAUGGAGAGUUGUGUCUUUGAUGGAGGAUUACAAGUCAGAAAUUGAGAACUGUGACUUAGGUGCAGGGAUUUACAUUUCAUUUUACUCGAUAAAAAGCUCUUUGCUCGACAAGGAAAACAAUAUGCAUGAACCUGUAUAAUUUGGAUGAGUAUUUGAAAUUUUGUUGAGUUGCGGUGCAA
Non-coding RNA from Punica granatum (pomegranate), 1869 nucleotides. NCBI's taxonomy places the organism in Eukaryota, Viridiplantae, Streptophyta, Magnoliopsida, Myrtales, Lythraceae. The record is from RefSeq and is a predicted model, not a curated record.